GUGUAUAUGGAGACCUGUUUAGGGA
RNAcentral lists this non-coding RNA (25 nucleotides) under Mus musculus (house mouse). Lineage: Eukaryota; Metazoa; Chordata; Mammalia; Rodentia; Muridae. The record is from RNAcentral.